This 468-nucleotide ribosomal RNA is filed under the name uncultured bacterium. Its description in RNAcentral is "partial 16S ribosomal RNA". It matches the Rfam family "Bacterial small subunit ribosomal RNA", at positions 28 to 507 of the family's 1533-position model. The record is from RNAcentral.
GACGAACGCUGGCGGCGUGCUUAACACAUGCAAGUCGAACGGAAAGGCCCUGCUUUUGUGGGGUGCUCGAGUGGCGAACGGGUGAGUAACACGUGAGUAACCUGCCCUUGACUUUGGGAUAACUUCAGGAAACUGGGGCUAAUACCGGAUAGGAUCUCCUGCUGCAUGGUGGGGGUUGGAAAGUUUCGGCUGUUGGGGAUGGACUCGCGGCUUAUCAGCUUGUUGGUGGGGUAGUGGCUUACCAAGGCUUUGACGGGUAGCCGGCCUGAGAGGGUGACCGGCCACAUUGGGACUGAGAUACGGCCCAGACUCCUACGGGAGGCAGCAGUGGGGAAUAUUGCACAAUGGGCGGAAGCCUGAUGCAGCAACGCCGCGUGCGGGAUGACGGCCUUCGGGUUGUAAACCGCUUUCGCCUGUGACGAAGCGUGAGUGACGGUAAUGGGUAAAGAAGCACCGGCUAACUACGUG